Molecule: ribosomal RNA, 377 nt
Filed under: uncultured bacterium
Lineage: Bacteria
Description: bacterial SSU rRNA
Rfam family: Bacterial small subunit ribosomal RNA
Source: RNAcentral
AGCGAACGCUGGCGGCAGGCUUAACACAUGCAAGUCGAGCGGGCCCUUCGGGGUCAGCGGCGGACGGGUGAGUAACGCGUGGGAACGUGCCUUCUGGUCUGGAAUAACCCUGGGAAACUAGGGCUAAUACCGGAUACGCCCUUUUGGGGAAAGGUUUACUGCCGGAAGAUCGGCCCGCGUCUGAUUAGCUAGUUGGUGGGGUAACGGCCGUACCAAGGCGACGAUCAGUAGCUGGUCUGAGAGGAUGAUCAGCCACACUGGGACUGAGACACCGGCCCAGACUCCUACGGGAGGGCAGCAGUGGGGAAUAUUGGACAAUGGGCGCAAGCCUGAUCCAGCCAUGCCGCGUGAGUGAUGAAGGCCUUAGGGUUGUAAAG